ACGGUAGCCAUGAUCUGACUUAAACUUUGGAAACCUGUUCAUAGAUCCCCAAAAUAUUAAAACAAGUAAUCAGAAAAACACAUGAAAAUACUAGCUACUAGUUAUGAAAAAUGAAUGCACGUGCACUCAUGGGCUAAAAGCAGGAUUGGCAGUUACCAACUUUGAGUUGUUGGAUGCUGGAAAACUAACAAAGAAACCUAUUCCAAGGAUGCAAAAAAAUGUCUAUGCAAGGGGUUGUUUCAAACUGAGAACGUACUGAUGGAUUCAUAACACGUGUAAGCGAAUGAAGUGAAACUUCUCAUUCAUACUUGAGUAACGCAUGCAAGGGCUAUCUGCUUAAAGAGAGAGAUGCCAUCGUGGAGGAAUUUUG
Long non-coding RNA from Stegodyphus dumicola, 370 nucleotides. Lineage: Eukaryota; Metazoa; Arthropoda; Arachnida; Araneae; Eresidae. The record is from RefSeq and is a predicted model, not a curated record.